CCUACGGGAGGCAGCAGUGGGGAAUUUUGGACAAUGGGGGAAACCCUGAUCCAGCCAUCCCGCGUGUGCGAUGAAGGCCUUCGGGUUGUAAAGCACUUUUGGCAGGGAAGAAACGGCGUGCCCUAAUACGGGACGUCACUGACGGUACCUGCAGAAUAAGCACCGGCUAACUACGUGCCAGCAGCCGCGGUAAUACGUAGGGUGCAAGCGUUAAUCGGAAUUACUGGGCGUAAAGCGUGCGCAGGCGGUUCGGAAAGAAAGAUGUGAAAUCCCAGAGCUUAACUUUGGAACUGCAUUUUUAACUCCCGAGCUAGAGUAUGUCAGAGGGGGGUAGAAUUCCACGUGUAGCAGUGAAAUGCGUAGAGAUGUGGAGGAAUACCGAUGGCGAAGGCAGCCCCCUGGGAUAAUACUGACGCUCAUGCACGAAAGCGUGGGGAGCAAACAGGAUUAGAUACCCUGGUAG
RNAcentral lists this ribosomal RNA (463 nucleotides) under uncultured bacterium. RNAcentral describes it as "bacterial SSU rRNA". It matches the Rfam family "Bacterial small subunit ribosomal RNA", at positions 338 to 793 of the family's 1533-position model. The record is from RNAcentral.